UACAGAGGGUGCAAGUGUUGUUCGGAAUCGUUGGGCGUAAAGGGCGCGUAGGCGGUGCAAUAAGUCAGGCGUGAAAGCCCCGGGCUCAACCCGGGAAUUGCGCUUGAUACUGUUGCGCUUGAAUCCAGGAGAGGAUGGCGGAAUUCCCAGUGUAGAGGUGAAAUUCGUAGAUAUUGGGAAGAACACCAGUGGCGAAGGCGGCCAUCUGGCCUGGAAUUGACGCUGAGGCGCGAAAGCGUGGGGAGCAAACAGG
This 253-nucleotide ribosomal RNA is filed under the name uncultured prokaryote. RNAcentral describes it as "partial 16S ribosomal RNA". It matches the Rfam family "Bacterial small subunit ribosomal RNA", at positions 524 to 776 of the family's 1533-position model. The record is from RNAcentral.